CUCGAGACUAGAGUUACAUCCUGACAGCUCUUGUCCUGGUGUGCUAGAGUCCUUGGAGAAAAUCUGCUGCUCUUGGUUCACUGGUGGGGGCAAUGCAGGAGUGCCCAGAUCAGAUACAUGC
This is a small nucleolar RNA of Bubalus bubalis (water buffalo), 121 nucleotides long. RefSeq annotates it as small nucleolar RNA SNORA3/SNORA45 family. NCBI's taxonomy places the organism in Eukaryota, Metazoa, Chordata, Mammalia, Artiodactyla, Bovidae. The record is from RefSeq and is a predicted model, not a curated record. The transcript has a single exon.